AAUCCAUGGUGUGGGAAUUUUUGAAUCAACAUUUUCAAACGUUCCAACGCCCAAUAGAAACUUUCUCCCUCCAUCUAUCUAAAGAUAUUAAUCUCUCUUCUCAACU
This is a non-coding RNA of Gossypium hirsutum (cotton), 106 nucleotides long. Lineage: Eukaryota; Viridiplantae; Streptophyta; Magnoliopsida; Malvales; Malvaceae. The record is from Rfam.